GACGAACGCUGGCGGCGUGCUUAACACAUGCAAGUCGAACGGAAAGGCCCUGCUCUUGUUGGGUGCUCGAUUGGCGAACGGGUGAGUAAAACGUGUGUAACCUCCCCUUGUCUUUCGGAUAACUUCAGGAAACUGGGGCUAAUACAGGAUAGGAGCUCCUGCUGCAUGGGGGUGGUUGGAAAGUUUCGGCGGUUGUGGAUGGACUCGCGGCUUACCCGCUUGUUAGUGUAGUAGUGGCUUACCAAGGCUUAGACGGGUAGCCGGCAUGGGAGGGGGGCCGGCGACCAUGCGACUAAGAUAGGGACCAGUAGGGAACGGGAGGCAGAGGUGGGGAAUAUUGCGGAAUGGGGGGAAGUCAGAUGUGGCGGUGUCGCGUGCGUGAAGCCCGGUUACGGGUUGUGAACCGAUUUCGAAUGUGACGAAGCGGGAGUGACGGUAAUGGAUAAAAAAGCACCGGCUAACUACGUG
Molecule: ribosomal RNA, 468 nt
Filed under: uncultured bacterium
Lineage: Bacteria
Description: partial 16S ribosomal RNA
Rfam family: Bacterial small subunit ribosomal RNA
Source: RNAcentral